GUCCAACUGACAAGUCCCAAAUAGGACGAAACGCGCGUCAAACUGGAU
Molecule: non-coding RNA, 48 nt
Filed under: Schistosoma mattheei
Lineage: Eukaryota; Metazoa; Platyhelminthes; Trematoda; Strigeidida; Schistosomatidae
Source: RNAcentral